GAUGAACGCUGGCGGCGUGCCUAAUACAUGCAAGUCGAGCGAACAGACGAGGAGCUUGCUCCUCUGACGUUAGCGGCGGACGGGUGAGUAACACGUGGAUAACCUACCUAUAAGACUGGGAUAACUUCGGGAAACCGGAGCUAAUACCGGAUAAUAUAUUGAACCGCAUGGUUCAAUAGUGAAAGACGGUUUUGCUGUCACUUAUAGAUGGAUCCGCGCCGCAUUAGCUAGUUGGUAAGGUAACGGCUUACCAAGGCAACGAUGCGUAGCCGACCUGAGAGGGUGAUCGGCCACACUGGAACUGAGACACGGUCCAGACUCCUACGGGAGGCAGCAGUGGGGAAUCUUCCGCAAUGGGCGAAAGCUUGACGGAGCAACGCCGCGUGAGUGAUGAAGGUCUUCGGAUCGUAAAACUCUGUUAUUAGGGAAGAACAAAUGUGUAAGUAACUAUGCACGUCUUGACGGUACCUAAUCAGAAAGCCACAGCUAACUACGUG
RNAcentral lists this ribosomal RNA (497 nucleotides) under uncultured bacterium. RNAcentral describes it as "partial 16S ribosomal RNA". It matches the Rfam family "Bacterial small subunit ribosomal RNA", at positions 28 to 507 of the family's 1533-position model. The record is from RNAcentral.